This 440-nucleotide ribosomal RNA is filed under the name uncultured bacterium. RNAcentral describes it as "partial 16S ribosomal RNA". It matches the Rfam family "Bacterial small subunit ribosomal RNA", at positions 338 to 795 of the family's 1533-position model. The record is from RNAcentral.
CCUACGGGUGGCAGCAGUGGGGGAUAUUGCACAAUGGGGGAAACCCUGAUGCAGCAACGCCGCGUGAGUGAAGAAGUAUUUCGGUAUGUAAAGCUCUAUCAGCAGGGAAGAGAAUGACGGUAGCUGACUAAGAAGCCACGGCUAAUUACGGGCCAGCAGGCGCGGUAAUACGUAGGGGGCGAGCGUUAUCCGGUGUGACUGGGGGUAAAGGGAGCGUAGACGGCUGGUCAAGUCUGAAGUGAAAGCCCGGGGCUUAACCCCGGAACGGCUUUGGAAACUGGGCAGCUAGAGUGCGGGAGAGGUAAGCGGAAUUCCUGGUGUAGCGGUGAAAUGCGUAGAUAUUAGGAGGAACACCAGUGGCGAAGGCGGCUUACUGGACAGUAACUGACGUUGAGGCUCGAAAGCGUGGGGAGCAAACAGGAUUAGAUACCCGGGUAGUC